Molecule: ribosomal RNA, 638 nt
Filed under: uncultured bacterium
Lineage: Bacteria
Description: bacterial SSU rRNA
Rfam family: Bacterial small subunit ribosomal RNA
Source: RNAcentral
AGUCGAACGAGAGGACAAGAGAAGCUUGCUUCUUUUGGAAUCGAGUGGCAAACGGGUGAGUAACACGUAAACAACCUGCCUUCAGGAUGGGGACAACAGACGGAAACGACUGCUAAUACCGAAUACGCUUGGGAGACCGCAUGAUCUUCCAAGGAAAGGGUGGCCUCUACCUGUAAGCUAUCGCCUGAAGAGGGGUUUGCGUCUGAUUAGGCAGUUGGCGAGGUAACGGCCCACCAAACCUACGAUCAGUAGCCGGUCUGAGAGGAUGAACGGCCACACUGGAACUGAGACACGGUCCAGACUCCUACGGGAGGCAGCAAUGGGGAAUCUUCCGCAAUGGGCGAAAGCCUGACGGAGCAACGCCGCGUGAGUGAUGACGGCCUUCGGGUUGUAAAGCUCUGUGAUCGGGGACGAACGGUCCGUAAGUCAAUACCUUAUGGAAGUGACGGUACCCGAAUAGCAAGCCACGGCUAACUACGUGCCAGCAGCCGCGGUAAUACGUAGGUGGCAAGCGUUGUCCGGAAUUAUUGGGCGUAAAGCGCGCGCAGGCGGCUUUCUAAGUCCAUCUUAAAAGUGCGGGGCUUAACCCCGUGAUGGGAUGGAAACUGGAAAGCUGGAGUAUCGGAGAGGAAAGUGGA